CGAACGGCAGCACGGGCUUGCACCUGGUGGCGAGUGGCGAACGGGUGAGUAAUACAUCGGAACAUGUCCUGUAGUGGGGGAUAGCCCGGCGAAAGCCGGAUUAAUACCGCAUACGAUCCGGAUGAAAGCGGGGGACCUUCGGGCCUCGCGCUAUAGGGUUGGCCGAUGGCUGAUUAGCUAGUUGGUGGGGUAAAGGCCUACCAAGGCGACGAUCAGUAGCUGGUUGAGAGGACGACCAGCCACACUGGGACUGAGACACGGCCCAGACUCCUACGGGAGGCAGCAGUGGGGAAUUUUGGACAAUGGGCGAAAGCCUGAUCCAGCAAUGCCGCGUGUGUGAAGAAGGCCUUCGGGUUGUAAAGCACUUUUGUCCGGAAAGAAAUCCUUGGCUAAUACAGUCGGGGGAUGACGGUACCGGAAGAAUAAGCACGGCUAACUACGUGCCAGCAGCCGCGGUAAUACGUAGGGUGCGAGCGUUAAUCGGAAUUACUGGGCGUAAAGCGUGCGCAGGCGGUUUGCUAACGAUGUGAAAUCCCCGGGCUCAACCUGGGAACUGCAUUGGUGACUGGCAGGCUAGAGUAUGGCAGGGGGGUAGAUUCCACGUGUAGCAGUGAAAUGCGUAGAGAUGUGGAGGAAUACCGAUGGCGAAGGCAGCCCCCUGGGCCAAUACUGACG
Molecule: ribosomal RNA, 675 nt
Filed under: Burkholderia sp.
Lineage: Bacteria; Pseudomonadati; Pseudomonadota; Betaproteobacteria; Burkholderiales; Burkholderiaceae
Description: bacterial SSU rRNA
Rfam family: Bacterial small subunit ribosomal RNA
Source: RNAcentral